CGAACGCUGGCGGCGUGCUUAACACAUGCAAGUCGAACGGAAAGGCCCUGCUUUUGUGGGGUGCUCGAGUGGCGAACGGGUGAGUAACACGUGAGUAACCUGCCCUUGACUUUGGGAUAACUUCAGGAAACUGGGGCUAAUACCGGAUAGGAGCUCCUGCUGCAUGGUGGGGGUUGGAAAGUUUCGGCGGUUGGGGAUGGACUCGCGGCUUAUCAGCUUGUUGGUGGGGUAGUGGCUUACCAAGGCUUUGACGGGUAGCCGGCCUGAGAGGGUGACCGGCCACGUUGGGACUGAGAUACGGCCCAGACUCCUACGGGAGGCAGCAGUGGGGAAUAUUGCACAAUGGGCGGAAGCCUGAUGCAGCAACGCCGCGUGCGGGAUGACGGCCUUCGGGUUGUAAACCGCUUUCGCCUGUGACGAAGCGUGAGUGACGGUAAUGGGUAAAGAAGCACCGGCUAACUACGUGCCAGCAGCCGCGGUGAUACGUAGGGUGCGAGCGUUGUCCGGAUUUAUUGGGCGUAAAGGGCUCGUAGGUGGUUGAUCGCGUCGGAAGUGUAAUCUUGGGGCUUAACCCUGAGCGUGCUUUCGAUACGGGUUGACUUGAGGAAGGUAGGGGAGAAUGGAAUUCCUGGUGGAGCGGUGGAAUGCGCAGAUAUCAGGAGGAACACCAGUGGCGAAGGCGGUUCUCUGGGCCUUUCCUGACGCUGAGGAGCGAAAGCGUGGGGAGCGAACAGGCUUAGAUACCCUGGUAGUCCACGCUGUAAACGGUGGGUACUAGGUGUGGGGUCCAUUCCACGGGUUCCGUGCCGUAGCUAACGCUUUAAGUACCCCGCCUGGGGAGUACGGCCGCAAGGCUAAAACUCAAAGGAAUUGACGGGGCCCCGCACAAGCGGCGGAGCAUGCGGAUUAAUUCGAUGCAACGCGUAGAACCUUACCUGGGUUUGACAUGGAUCGGGAGUGCUCAGAGAUGGGUGUGCCUCUUUUGGGGUCGGUUCACAGGUGGUGCAUGGCUGUCGUCAGCUCGUGUCGUGAGAUGUUGGGUUAAGUCCCGCAACGAGCGCAACCCUUGUUCACUGUUGCCAGCACGUUAUGGUGGGGACUCAGUGGAGACCGCCGGGGUCAACUCGGAGGAAGGUGGGGAUGACGUCAAGUCAUCAUGCCCCUUAUGUCCAGGGCUUCACGCAUGCUACAAUGGCUGGUACAGAGAGUGGCGAGCCUGUGAGGGUGAGCGAAUCUCGGAAAGCCGGUCUCAGUUCGGAUUGGGGUCUGCAACUCGACCUCAUGAAGUCGGAGUCGCUAGUAAUCGCAGAUCAGCAACGCUGCGGUGAAUACGUUCCCGGGGCUUGUACACACCGCCCGUCAAGUCAUGAAAGUUGGUAACACCCGAAGCCGGUGGCCUAACCGUUGUGGGGGAGCCGUCGAAGGUGGGACUGGU
Molecule: ribosomal RNA, 1435 nt
Filed under: uncultured organism
Description: 16S ribosomal RNA
Rfam family: Bacterial small subunit ribosomal RNA
Source: RNAcentral